AUCACGAGAAGAAGAGGUAAGAGUAAUAAAAUUUUUUUAUUCAACAUUACGAAUUGAGUUACGAGAUGAAGUGGUUGUAAUUAAUUUAAAACAUAUUGCAUCACGAGAAGAAUAGGAAAAAUAUUGCUAUACUUAAGUAUCAAGAUUAAAAUACUGAUGCACCGUUAAACUGAAGGUGGUAAUAAAGUUGACAAAAUUUGCUCUGGCUGAAUUUUUCAAUGAAAAAACAAUAUGUGUGCUAUGAAUGUAAUCUGUUUUUCAUGGCGUAUCAAUGAAAGUUUGGUGUAUUGGCCAAAUCACUUGCAAGCAUCUUGCCUUUAAACUGCCAUACGUAAAGUCACGCUUUUAAAAGUAACUGAAAGCAGCUGAAAGUAAGAAUUUUUUGAAUGGAAUUAUCUGUGCCUCCAGCUUAAAAAGAUGCA
Long non-coding RNA from Hydra vulgaris (swiftwater hydra), 422 nucleotides. RefSeq lists it as uncharacterized. NCBI's taxonomy places the organism in Eukaryota, Metazoa, Cnidaria, Hydrozoa, Anthoathecata, Hydridae. The record is from RefSeq and is a predicted model, not a curated record.